This 253-nucleotide ribosomal RNA is filed under the name uncultured bacterium. RNAcentral's name for it is "partial 16S ribosomal RNA". It matches the Rfam family "Bacterial small subunit ribosomal RNA", at positions 524 to 776 of the family's 1533-position model. The record is from RNAcentral.
UACGUAGGGGGCAAGCGUUGUCCGGAUUUAUUGGGCGUAAAGAGCGUGUAGGCGGCCACGCAGGUCCGUUGUGAAAACUCGAGGCUCAACCUCGAGAUGUCGGCGGAAACUGUCUGGCUAGAGUCCGGAAGAGGAGAGUGGAAUUCCUGGUGUAGCGGUGAAAUGCGCAGAUAUCAGGAGGAACACCAAUGGCGAAGGCAGCUCGCUGGGACGUGACUGACGCUGAGACGCGAAAGCGUGGGGAGCAAACAGG